This 465-nucleotide ribosomal RNA is filed under the name uncultured bacterium. RNAcentral's name for it is "partial 16S ribosomal RNA". It matches the Rfam family "Bacterial small subunit ribosomal RNA", at positions 28 to 507 of the family's 1533-position model. The record is from RNAcentral.
GACGAACGCUGGCGGCGUGCUUAACACAUGCAAGUCGAACGGAAAGGCCCCUUUGGGGGUACUCGAGUGGCGAACGGGUGAGUAACACGUGAGUAACCUGCCCUUGACUUCGGGAUAACUUCAGGAAACUGGGGCUAAUACCGGAUAGGAAUCCUUGCUGCAUGGUGGGGGUUGGAAAGCUUCGGCGGUUUUGGAUGGACUCGCGGCUUAUCAGCUUGUUGGUGGGGUAGGGGCUUACCAAGGCUUUGACGGGUAGCCGGCCUGAGAGGGCGACCGGCCACAUUGGGACUGAGAGACGGCCCAGACUCCUACGGGAGGCAGCAGUGGGGAAUAUUGCACAAUGGGCGGAAGCCUGAUGCAGCAACGCCGCGUGCGGGAUGACGGCCUUCGGGUUGUAAACCGCUUUCAGCAGGGGCGAAGCUUGUGGUGACGGUACCUGCAGAAGAAGCACCGGCUAACUACGUG